RNAcentral lists this ribosomal RNA (800 nucleotides) under uncultured stramenopile. RNAcentral's name for it is "SSU rRNA". It matches the Rfam family "Eukaryotic small subunit ribosomal RNA", at positions 29 to 836 of the family's 1831-position model. The record is from RNAcentral.
GGCAUUUUCCUAAGAUUAUGCCAUGCAUGUCUAAGUAUAAACAAAUCUAUACUGUGAAACUGCGAAUGGCUCAUUAUAUCAGUUAUAGUUUAUUUGAUGGUUCUUGCUACUUGGAUAACCGUAGUAAUUCUAGAGCUAAUACAUGCACCAAACCUCGACUUUUUUGGAAGAGGUGUAUUUAUUAGAUGGAAACCAAUGCGGGGCAACCCGGAUUCAGGUGAUUCAUAAUAACUUUCGGAUCGAUCUUCGGAUCGAUGCAUCAUUCAAGUUUCUGCCCUAUCAGCUUUGGAUGGUAGGGUAUUGGCCUACCAUGGCUUUAACGGGUAACGGAGAAUUAGGGUUCGAUUCCGGAGAGGGAGCCUGAGAAACGGCAACCACAUCCAAGGAAGGCAGCAGGCGCGUAAAUUACCCAAUCCUGACACAGGGAGGUAGUGACAAUAAAUAACAAUGCCGGGCCUUUUUAAGUCUGGCAAUUGGAAUGAGAACAAUUUAAAUCCCUUAUCGAGGAUCAAUUGGAGGGCAAGUCUGGUGCCAGCAGCCGCGGUAAUUCCAGCUCCAAUAGCGUAUACUAAAGUUGUUGCAGUUAAAAAGCUCGUAGUUGAAUUUCUGGUCGUGGCGAUCGGUCCGCCCCUCACGGGGUGUGCACCAGGUCUCUACGUCCAUCCUCGGGGAGAGCACGUCUGGCAUUUAGUUGUCGGGCGUGGGAUCCUCGUCAUUUACUGUGAGCAAAAUAGAGUGUUCAAAGCAGGCUUAGGCCGUUGAAUACAUUAGCAUGUAAUAAUAAGAUAGGACCUUGCUCU